CGCCCUACCCAUGUAAUUAUCCCUCCUCACAUUUCUUGACCACAAAGGAAAAGAAAAAUGGACAGCUGUACAAAGUUGAGGCCAUUUUUACUCUCUUUUGGAUUUGAGAGGAAAAAAAACAUACAAUAUAUUUUCCAGGGGGCCCACAGAUUUUCUUCCACUAGAAAUACCCUCACAAGUCAUCUUCUUCAGAGGGACAAUCUUCAUAUUCACGCACCAGCUCACAGAAACAAUACUAAUACACACACCAGUGAGAGAGAGAUAUAGACGCACACCCGCAGAGAGAAUCAUAGGAGAAAGAGAGAAUCGGGAGAGAGUGAAUAAAAAAGGGGUUGAAUAGUGGUCGGUUGGCGUGAACAGUAAACGUUGAACGGAGUAGGGGGAAGAACAGUUUUUCCCGGUGAGCUUGUCACUGGAAUAGUGCCUCAUCGUAGAGUCCGUCCACUCCUCCCUAAAACUCAAUCAAAACCAGCUUCAAACCCCCUAAAAUUAUGACGCUAGUGCCCGACUACUCCGCCGCCACCGCUGUUACUAUUUCGGCAAUGAAUUUUUCGCCUGGAAUGAGCCAAAUCGAUCAAAAUCGUCCCAAAAAUAUUGAGAAAAUAGUGAGUUCACCUUGGGUUUUCGACAGUUAAGUUAGAGGUCUGUUUGUGAUUUGGUAUUGGAAAAAAAAGGAACAAAGGGGAUAUAUCGAAGUUGGAGUUGUUCGUUUGGUGAGGCUCGAUCUGAGAUUAUGGACGCGAUCCAAUCGAAAGGAGCAACUUUAAUCGAAAGCAACAUUUGAGGUUCAAUUCUAUCUUCUCUAUUUUUUUUGUAGUUUUUAACAUAAUUAUGAAUGAUUUAUGUGUUUGGCAUGUUUGAAUCUUCGUUAUGUGUGGGUUGAUGUUGGAUUUGGAUAUGAAAACUUGAUCGGUGGAUUGUAUAUUGAAUUGGUUUAAUCGUGUUAAAAAAGUUGAGGCGCGAAUUGAAAAUUUACUAAAGUGAAUUAGGAUUAAUUUUGAUUUAUUGUUAUUUUGAUUCAUUGACGCCAUCGAUCAUGAUAGUGCCAUGAUAGGUCGAGUUAGGUAGGCAAAAGUAGGCUGGGUAGGCAAAGUUGAGGACCUGUGAUUGUUGAAAUGAUGAAAUAUUUGUGGAGUGGUUUUGAUUUAUGCACUGAGAUCUAUUGUAUUCAUUUGGCCGGGGAAUGCCCCGAGGGAUUUGUAUUGAUUCACCGGGGAAUGCCCCGACGUAUCAUGUAUUCGGAGGACGUCCGUGAUGAAGGCCCGAAGCAUCGGGUAAGGCAUUGGACAUAGUUUAGGAUUAGUGUAGGUUAGCGUAGGUUUAUUUUUCAGUACCUUUUUUAUCAUUUCGGGUUGUAAUAAUUGGACUGGACAUUAUUAUUUUGAUUUUUGGAUUGUUGUUUGAUGUUUGUUUAUGUGCUUUGUGUGGUUUAUAUAUUUGUGGUGUCUAAUUAGCCGAUACUCUCCACCAAGAGACCAUGGUCGAACCACGGGACCGAGGGGUGCCUAACACCUUCCCCUCGGUCAACAAAAUUCCUUAGUUGAAACCUCUGUUCGCGGAUCAGUUUUACAGAGUCAAAAUCGUUUUGAAAAGGAUUUUCCAAAGGUGACUUGGCACACCGGAUUAUGCCAAGUGGUGACUCUGAGUUUUGAAUAUAAAUAAUUCUUUUCGAAAUAAAUUUUUAUUUUUUGUCACUUUGAUAAUAAAAAUCCUUUCAAACUUAAAACGAAAUCUUUUUUGGGUAAAAAAAGGGUGUGACAGCUCUGGCGACUCUGCUGGGGACUUUUUUUUAGAAUUCAAGCUUAUUUUGGAGUUGUAUCGACUUAGUUUGGCACUAUAGGUAUAUAGACAUUUUGUUUGUGUUGUUUUGUGUUAUUGUUUAUCAUUGUUGAGUGCCUACGUGCUCUUUGUUUACAAUUUUUAUUUUAUGUGUUACCGUUUUAUAUCUGGCAUCAUGUGUAUAACCCGAGCCAUUCUUUCUGCAACAAGUCUAUAGUAUACGCUAUGUACACGACCUCUAGUUGAGUCACCUUUAUCUUAGGGGGGAGUCUUCGACUGGUAUGGAGUGGGUGGAAAGCUAAAACAACCACUAUCGACCAUAUGCUCUCCCGAACAGCCUUGUUAGUGAAUCCCAGCGUAGGUCAGCUUUUAGGUCAUGCUUAUCUGCAUCAUAUUGAGACCUAGCGGGACUCACUUGGUCUUUUGUAGGAGACUCACCUCUAAGGCAUCCCUACGUGCUAAAUGUUACAUCUUUGAGGGUAACGUGGUCAUUUGACGGACUAAUUUAAGGGAAAACAUGUGCUAGAGGUAAAGUGCGUAGACAAGAAAUCAUUUGAAAAAAAAAGGAGUUUCGUAGCUUUUAGUGUUCUUUAUGACUUUUGUUUCCCACAAUUCAAAAAUUCAAAAAGAUUUCUUUAUUUUCUGCACUCAUUUUUUUAAAAACCAAAACAUCAAAAAGAUUUCUCACUUUGUCUCCUUUAGCAUGCAUUCAUAAUUAGAAAUUUUCAAAAAAAAAAAAAAUUAGCAGUUUUUAUAAAAGAAAUUGAAAAAUGGUGAAAGAUUUGUACAUUUCAUAUAGUGAAAAUGUCAAAAAGAUUUUCCUUCAUAAUUGUUGGUGUCAGUUUAGCUGAAGUAUCUAAUUAAAAACCCAAAAAUAUUUUAUUCAUUUGUCUUUGGUUGUGUCUCUUAAGUUAGGGUCAAUUUGUUAGACUAUCGUUAAUUGUACAAUCUGGACGAACUACGCACCCGUGAUUCUGCUCUCUCCGGAGUGAGAUACAUAGGUAACCUAUUUUGGGUUGGGGAUCUUAUUUCAAAAAUUCAAAAAAAGAUUUUCUUCACUCUUCAUUUAGAGUAGGUGUUUCAUGUACAUCUUUAAAAGAAAACAACAAAAAAAUAUUUCCCUUUAAUAGGUUCAGGUUUCAUUUUCAUAUGAAAUUCAAAAUCAAAAAUCAAAAAAUAUUUUUUUCGGUAAUCAUAGAUUUCAUUUUGUACAGAAAUCUGAAAAAUUCAAAAAGAUUUUCUUCACUCUUCACUUAGAGUAGGUGUUUCAUAUACAUCUCUAAAAAACUACAAAAAGAUUUUUCUUUAAUAGUUUGAAGUUUCAUUUUCCUAUGAAAUUCAAAAUCGAAAACCCUAAAAGAUUUUUAUUUGGUAAUCAUGGGUUUCAUUUUGUAUAGGGAUGUUAAGACUAAAAAAUGCAAAAAAAGAUUUUCGUCAAUUCUUUUGACAAUUUGUUAUUUUCUUUUCUUCUUAAAGUUUCAAAAAGAAAACAAAGAGUUCAAUUGGCCGUUUUGGCACGACUUAACGAACUACGCACACCUGAUUCUCCUCUCUCGGUGGUGAGAUACGUAGGUGCCCUUCUUGGGUUCGGUGAUCUUUUCAAGAAAAAAAAGGGAGAGAGAGGUUUUGAAAAAUGUUGAACUCUAACAUAUUUGUUGCCUCUUGUUCAGUUAGUUUAAGGUGGUUGGUUUGUGGCUUACUGGUUGGUCCUCCAUAUCACACCAAAUCCAAGGAGGGGUUAGUUGUGUCCAACAAGGAUAUAGAAAGUGGCAUCAUGGAUGAAACAAAGAUUCAGGAAAUUGAGAGUUUAAAGAAAGAGAAUUUGAGACUGAGACAACAAGUGAUGGAAAUAUACCGAGCUUGGACCAGUGGGCUGCCUCCACCUCUGUUUCCCACUUUUGGCCCUGCAAAUACCUUGAGUCUUCCACCAAAAUCGUAAAGUCAGUUUCUGUCUUCUUAUCCACAAUGGCAUGCUCCUGUCCCUCAACAUCGUCCUCGACCCCCACGAAUUUACCAAGGAACCUCUAAAUCCAAGUUUCAUCUAAGGCUAGAGUUAGUGUUGUAAAACAUUUCAUAAGUGAUCUUUAUCGUGCAAUUUUGUAUUGCAUGCUAUGUACUAGCAUUUUCAAAAAUUGAUAUGACGAAGGCAUUUCAUUCUGCUUUCCAAAUAUUGUGUCAUCCUUUGUUUACCCCAUUUGGGCCUUAGUGUUAUUUUCUUUUAUACCCCUCUUUUGGAAUCAAGAUAAAGUCAACAAAAUCCAAAAAAAGUGUCGAAAAAGAAAAAAAAGAUGAGUGUCAAGAAAAAUAAAGUCAGAAAAGUCCCAAAGAUAAAAAGAGUCGACAAAAGAAAAAAAAUAGAAUCAAGUGAAAGAACAAGUUGCCAGAACUACGCAUGACUUGAUUCUCCUCUCUCGAGGGUGAGAUACGUAGGCUGCCUUACUCAGGGCUCGGUCCAACCAAAUAAAUAAUUUAGAAUUGCCCAGUCAAAAAUUGGGGCUUGAGUUAAUCCUCAUUGUUUGAGUCGAUUCCAAAAGUUGUAAGUCCUACCCCACUUUUAGUAUUGUUUGGGCCCCAUGCCAUCCUUUAUUUUCAACCCUAUCCAAAAGCCAAGUUACAAUCAAAGAAAGACCUUCAGAUCAAUCUUUGAGAAUGUUAAGGCUAAGUAUGCAAUGGAUGUGAUGACACAUUUUGAGAACUACUCGUCUUCCUCAGCAUAAAAAAUCAGGAGAGAAAUAAAAAUGAGAGAGUUUUAUUGGUGAAAACCCUCACGGGCACCAUAAGGAGAUGGUAAAUUAAGAAAGAUAAAAAUGAGAGAGUUUUAUUAGUGAAAACCCUCACAGACACCAUAAGGCGAUGGUGAGUUGAGAGAAAAAUGAGAGAGGCUUGUUUGAGAAAACCCUUCAAGGUGCCACUAGCCGAAUGAGGUCUCCGAAUGCAAUGGGUCUAAGUAAGAAACUCAGUUUCAGGGCCAUUAACUCAACAACAAUUGGUAGAAAGUUUGGAUGAAAAGAUCAGGCUGCUUAAUCCAAAAUGCACAGUAUAAUUAUUAGAGUUGACUGUCAUUUUUAGAUUAAUUUAUUGUUUCUUUGUUACAAAUGAGGAUAUUCAUUUUCUUUCCUUUCUUUUCUUUAUUUUUAUUUUAUCUUUCUUGAGUCAGUUAUCCAAAUAAAAAAAUUGUCUUUCUUUUUUUUCUUUUCUUGUCUUUGAGUCAAGUCCAUGUCAAAACAAGUGAGAAAAGAUUUUAAAACUGGCUAUCAGCUUCUUCAAUUGCACAAAGCAAGACAAAAGGGACAGCACAUGCAAAAGACAUGAUUGUGAGCCGAAAUAAGGCAUACAAAAAUUGUGUCAACAGACAAGUUUGGGAACUCAUGAAAAUACCAAGGUUCAAAGGGUUUAUAUGAUGAGCAUGACGAAGCAGAGAUAUCAUUUUAUUUCAGAGUCACUUUUAAUAAACUGAAUUUAGGUCAAUGAUGCAGCAAGUCAAUGAUAAAUGCUAAUGGUUGGAAGCAAGGUUAAAUGUGAUGGGGCAAGAGCGAUCGUCGCGAAAGCUAAAGCCACAAACCAGCCACCGUGUUUUAAACUCACAAGUUUUCUUUGAUGAAAUAGGAAACAUAUUACCUUCAAAGCAAGGACGUCAGAGCAUAAAUAUCAAGGCUUUCAAUGCCUCACGUUUAAAUAUGCACGAAGAAAUGUUGCUGCACAGGUUUGGUAAUCAAAUCAUUGUAAAAUUCAUCAUCUUAUAUCCCUCGGAGACACAUUUUCUUGUCCAGGGAUUUCAUUUUUCAUUUGCUGGGUGAUACACUUCUUAAAUUGAUCCUUCACUCCUAAAAGACGUACCUUUUAGUCGAGUCAUCCCCUUUGACCCCAAAAGACGUACCUUUUAGUAGAGUCAUUUCCUUUGAUUCCUAUAAGACAUACCUUUUACUCGAAUCAUUCCCGCUUGACUCCUAGAAGACGUACCUUUUAGUCGAGUCAUUCCCCUUAACCCCUAGAAGACGUACCUUUUAGUCGAUUCAUUCCUUUGAUUCCUAUAAGACGUACCUUUUAGUCGAGUCAUUCCUCUUGACCCCUAGAAGAAGUACCUUUUAGUAGAGUCAUUUCCUAUGAUUCCUAUAAGACGUACCUUUUAGUCGAGUCAUUCCUCUUGAGGCCUUGACCCCUAGAAGACGUACCUUUUAGUUGAGUCAUAUCCCUUGAUUCCUAUAAGAUGUACCUUUUAGUCGAGUCAUUCCCCUUGAGUCCUUGACCCCUAGAAGACGUACCUUUUAGUUGGGUCAUAUCCCUUGAUUCCUAUAAGACGUACCUUUUAGUCGAGUCAUUUCCUUUGAUUCCUAUAAGACGUACCUUUUACUUGAGUCAUCACCCCUUGAUUCCUAUAAGACGUACCUUCUAGUCGAGUCAUUCCCUUGAUUCCUAUAAGACGUACCUUUUAGUCGAGUCAAUUUCUUUGAUUCCUAUAAGACGUACCUUAUAGUCGAGUCAUUCUCCUUGAUUCCUAUAAUGAUGUGACUUUCACAAAAGUCCUUUGAUAAUAAACUGGGGCAAAAUUUAAUUCUUAUUUUUGGAACUUUACUUUUCUGGCAAACAAAAUUUCUCUUUAUGAAAAACUUUGUUUGGGAUAAUUUUCUUGUUAGUUUUGAUAUGAUUUCAGAAGCCCGCCUGAAGAACAGGGUGAUGAGAUAGAAAGUCAGGAGCCCACCUGAAGAACAGGGAUGAUGAAAUGGCAAGUCAGGAACCCGCCUGAAGAAUAGGGUGAUUAAAUAGUAAGUCAGGAGCCCUCCUGAAGAAUAGGGCGGAUAAAUGGAAAAUCUAGAACAAGGUGAAAAAAAUCUGAAAAAACAAGCAAAAAGGUGAAGCAAUUGAAAGUCAAGCAACAAGUUGAAUAAAUUGCAAAUCAGGAGCCCACCUGAAGAAUAGUGUGAUGAAACUUAAGUCAAGAGUCCAAAAGAAGAUGCAUAGAUAGAAUUUCUGUAAUUUUAUUUAUGUUUUUAACUCGUAAUUUUCAUUUUGAUGUAAUGAUAGAGCUGUGGACCGAAACCUUGAUGGAACCUCACUCGACUCUCCAACUCGGUAUAGUCCUUCUCUUUCAAAUAUUUUGAAAUACUGGUCCCUUGAUUCCUCCAUAACUUCGGUAGAUAGGUUGUCCUAAGUCAGGACUCGGUUGUCUUUCUUUCUUUUGUUCCUUCCUUUGAAUAAUGAUCGGGUCAAAAUUCUGUCUUGUUGUCUACUAUUUUGUCUGAAAACACUUCGUGUUUACAUUCAAAGGGGGCAUGAGGUAGACACCUAAUUUUGUCCCUCCUAAAGACCCAAGUUACACAUUUUAUCCUCGUUUUACCACGCGCCCUACCCUAUGUAAUUAUUCCUACACAAAAUGAUAAAUAUAACAACCCUUAGCAAAUUUUAUCUUUGUUCUAACAACCUCCUCAAUUAAAAGCGGACACCUCACCACCCCACUACCCCAUCCACGUGACCCUCCCUCCUCACAUUUCUUGACCACAAAGGAAAAUAAAAACGGACAACUGUACAAAGUUGUGGCCAUUUUUGCUCUCUUUUGGAUUUGAGAGGAACAAAAACUUACAAUAUAUUUCCCAGGGGCCCCACAGAUUUUCUUCCAUUAGAAAUACCCUCACAAGUCAUCUUCUUCAGAUGGACAAUCUUCAUAUUCACGCACCAGCUCACAGAAACAAUACGAAUACACACACCAGUGAGAGAGAUAUAUAGAUGUACACACUCAUAGAGAACCAUAGGAGAAGGAGAGAAUCGGGAGAGAGCGAAUAAAAAAGGGGUCUGAACAGUGAUCGGCCGAUGUGAAUAGUAAAUGCUGAACGGAGUAAGGGGAAGAACAGCUUUUCCCGAUGAGCCUGUCACCAAAAAAGUACCUCAUCGUAGAGUCCGUCCACUCCUCCCUAAAACCCAAUCGAAACCAGCUUUAAACUCCCUAAAAUUGUGACGCCAGUGCCCGACUACUCCGCCGCCGCCACUGUUACUGUUCCAGCGAUGGAGUUUUCGCCUAGAAUGCACCAAAUUGGUCAAAAUCGUCCCAAAAAUAUCAAGAAAACAGUGAGUUCACCUUGGGAUUUCAACAGUUAAGUUAGAGGUCUGUUUGUGAUUUGGUAUUGGUGAAAAAUGGAACAAAGGGGAUAUAUCGAAGUUGGAGUUGUUCGUUUGAAGAGGCUCGAUCCGAGAUUAUGGAUGCGGUCCAAUUGGAAGGAACAACUUUAAUCUAAAGCAACAUUUGAGGUUCAAUUCUAUCUUCUCUAUUUUUUUUUAGUUUUUAACAUAAUUAUGAAUGAUUUAUGUGUUUGGCAUGUUUGAAUCUUCGUGAUGUGUGGGUUGAUGUUGGAUUUGGAUAUGAAAACUUGAUCGGUGGAUUUUAUAUUGAAUUGGUUUAAUCAUAUUAAAAAAGUUUGGGCGCGAAUUGAAAAUUUUCUAAAGUGAAUUAGGAUUAAUUUUUAUUUAUUGUUAUUUUGAUUCAUUGACGCCGUCGAUCAUGAUAGUGCCAUGAUAGGUCAAGUUAGGUAGGCAAAAGUAGGUUGGGUAGGCAAAGUUUAGGAUCUGUGAUUGUUGAAAUGAUGAAAUAUUUGUGGAGUGGUUUCGAUUUAUGCAUUGGGAUCUAUUGUAUUCAUUUGGCCGGGGAAUGCCCCGAGGGAUUUGUAUUGAUUCACCGGGGAAUGCCCCGACGUAUCAUGUAUUCGGAGGACGUUCGUGAUGAAGGCCCGAAGAAUCGGGUAAGGCAUUGGAUCGUAGUUUAGGAUUAGUGUAGGUUAGCGUAGGUUUAUUUUUCAGUACCUUUUUUUCAUUUUGGGUUAUAAUAAUUGGACUGGACAUUAUUAUUUUGGUUUUUGGAUUGUUGUUUGAUGUUUGUUUAUGUGCUUUGUUUGGUUUAUACAUUUGUGGUGUCUAAUUAGCCGAUACUCUCCACCAAGAGACCAUGGUCGAACCAUGGGACCGAGGGGUGCCUAACACCUUUCCCUCGGUCAAUAAAAUUCCUUAGUCGAAAUCUCUGUUCGCGGAUUAGUUUUACAGAGUCAAAAUCAUUUUGAAAAGGGUUUUCCAAAGGUGACUUGGCACACCAGAUUAUGCCAAGUGGCGACUCUGAGUUUUGAAUUUAAAUAAUUCUUUUCAAAACAAACUUUCAUUUUUUGUCACUUUGAUAAUAAAAAUCCUUUCAAACUUAAAACAAAAUCGUUUUUGGGUAAAAAAAAAAGGGUGUGACAGCUCUGGCGACUCUGCUGGGGACUUUUUUUUAGAAUUCGAGCUUAUUUUCAAAUUGUAUCGGCUUAGUUUGGCACUAUAGGUGUAUAGACAUUUUAUUUGUGUUGUUUUGUGUUAUUGUUUAUCAUUGUUGAGUGCCUACGUGCUCUUUGUUUACAGUUUUUAUCUUAUGUGUUACCGUUUUAUAUCUGGCAUCAUGUGCAUAACCCGAGUCAUUCUUUCUGCAACAAGUCUGUAGUACACGCUAUGUACACGACCUCUAGUUGAGUCACCCUUAUCUUAGGGGGGAGCCGUCGGCUGGUAUGGAGUGGAUGGAAAGCUAAAGCAGCCACUAUCGACCAUAUGCUCCCCCGAAUAGCCUUGUUAGUGAACCCCAGCGUAGGUCAGCUUUUAGGUCAUGCUUAUCUGCAUCACAUUGAGACCUAGCGGGACCCACUUGGUCUGUUGUAGGAGACUCACCUCUAAGGCAUCCCUACGUGCUAAAUGUUGCAUCUUUGAGGGUAACGUGGUCAUUUGACGGACUGAUUUGAGGAAAAAUAUGUGCUAGAGGUAAAGUGCGUAGACAAGAAACCGUUUGAAAAAAAAAAAGGUGUUCCGUAGAUUUUAGUGUUCUUUAUGGCUUUUGUUUUCCAUAAUUCAAAAAUUCAAAAAAAAAUCUUUAUUUUCUGCACUCAUUUUUUUAAAAACCAAAACAUCAAAAAGAUUUCUCACUUUGUCUCCUUUAGCAUGUAUUCAUAAUUAGAAAUUUUCAAAAAAAAAAAAAAUAGUAGUUUUUAUAAAAGAAAUUGAAAAAUGGUAGAAGAUUUGUACAUUUCAUAUAGCGAAAAUGUCAAAAAGAUUUUUCUUCAAAAUUGUUGGUGUCAGUUUAGCUGAAGUGUCUAAUUAAAAACCAAAAAAGAUUUUAUUUGUUUGUCUUUGGUUGUGUCUCUUAAGUUAGGGUCAAUCUGUUAGUUAAUCGUUAAUUGUAGAAUCUGGACGAACUACGCACCCCUGAUUCUCCUCUCUCGGGAGUGAGAUACGUAGGCAACCUAUUUUGAUUUCGGGGAUCUUAUUUCAAAAAUUCAAAAAAAGAUUUUCUUCACUCUUCAUUUAGAGUAGAUGUUUCAUGUACAUCUUUAAAAGAAAACAACAAAAAAAUAUUUCCCUUUAAUAGGUUCAGGUUUCAUUUUCGUAUAAAUUCAAAAUCAAAAAUCCAAAAAUAUUUUUUUUGGUAAUCAUAGAUUUCAUUUUGUACAGAAAUCUGAAAAAUUCAAAAAGAUUUUCUUCACUCUUCAUUUAGAGUAGAUGUUUCAUGUACAUCUUUAAAAGAAAACAACAAAAAAAUAUUUCCCUUUAAUAGGUUCAGGUUUCAUUUUCGUAUAAAUUCAAAAUCAAAAACCCUAAAAAACUUUUCUUUGGUAAUCAUGGGUUUCAUUUUGUAUAGGGAUGUUAAGCCUAAAAAAUGCAAACAAAAAAGAUUUUCGUCAAUUCUUUUGACAAUUUGUUAUUUUCUUUUCUUCUUAAAGUUUCAAAAAGAAAAAAAAAGAAAACAAAGAGUUCAAUUGACCGUUUUGGCACGACUUCACGAACUACACACACCUGAUUCUCCUCUCUCGGGGGUGAGAUAUGUAGGUGCCCUUCUUGGGUUCGGUGAUCUUUUCAAGAAAAAAAAAGAGAGAGAGGUUUUGAAAAAUGUUGAACUCUAACAUAUUUGUUGCCUCUUGUUCAGUUAGUUUAAGGUGGUUGGUUUGUGGCUUCCUGGCUGGUCCUCCAUAUCACACCAAAUUCAAGGAGGGGUUAGUUGUGUCCAACAAGGAUAUAGAAAGUGGCAUCAUGGAUGAAACAAAGAGUAAAGAAAUUGAGAAUUUAAAGUAAGAGAAUUUGAGACUAAGACAACAAGUGAUGAAAAUGUAUAGAGCUUGGGCCAGUGGGCUGCCUCCAUCUCUGUUCCCCACUUUUGACCCUGCAAAUACCUUGAGUCUUGUACCAAAAUCGCAAAUUCAAUCUCCGUCUUCUUAUCUACAAUGGUAUGCACCUGUCCCUCAACAUCGUCCUCGACCCCCACGAAUUUACCAAGGAACCUCUAAAUCCAAGUUUCAUCCGAGGCUAGAGUUCACAAAGAGGAGGAAGGAAAAGGAUAAUUUCACUCCUAUUGAGGAUUCCUAUGCUAGUUUAUUCCAGAGAUUGAGAUAGAGGGCCAUGAUUACUCCUCUCCUUGGGUAUACACCUGACCCAUAUUCAAGAAAUUUUGAUCCUAAUGUACGAUGUGCAUAUCAUUAGGAUGUUCAGGGUCAUAGUAGUGAAGAUUGUCGUACUUUGAAAAGAGAAAUAGAAAAGAUAAUUCAAGAUAAAUUGAUUGUGGUGCAAAACAUUGGCCCUUCGACCAUCCCACAGGGUUCUUCACCAGCACGCGGUACUGCACAAUAUGUGGGAGGCAAUGAGUUAAGCAUGGGGAUCCAGAACUUAUUUGUUGAAGAAAAUAUGUCUGACAGUGGUGGAAGCUCUAGUCAUGCUGAUAUGCAAAUCAGUGGCUAAUAUGUCAGGCUGAGCAAUUGAGAAGUCACCCGUCUCCCUACAAGGAAGAGGUCUAGUAGUUUGUUUUCUUUUCUUUUCUAUUUUUUAAAUUAUUUCAGGGUUAUAGUUCGGGAUCUAUCUUGUUUUGUCCCUUUGUCAUUUAUGUUCAAACUUUUUUAUCUUUUGUUUCAAAUAUGUGUUGUUGGUUUGUUUUCUUUAUACAGUACAUUUUAUGUUGAUUCUAGUGAUAUAAUAUGCCUGCAAAAUUUUCAGUCUGAUCUUAAAAUCCCAGCUUAAUCAUGAAGCAUUGAAUCAGAGAGUUAAAGUUAGGAAAAGAGAGCAUAUGAGAAAAUAGAUAGAGUGUUGGGGCAUUUGGUGAUCAAGUUGAAGCCUUCUUUGAAAAUUAAGGCAAUUAUUUUGAGAAUCGUGAGAAUAACUUGGUUAGUAUUUGAAAGACAUGUUUCAAUUAGUUCAAACAGUGGAUGUGCGAUCCUACAUCAAAAGGAAUAGAAAAACUAGCUCCACGAAAGCAUGAGGAAUGUACAACAAAGUGGAGUUGUAUGUUAGGCAAGUGUAGAAAAACAAGUGGCACACAUGCUCGGGGCAAGUUAGUGUUGUAAAACAUUUCAUAAGUGAUCUUGAUCGUGCAAUUUCCCAUUGCAUGCUAUGUACUAGCAUUUUCAAGAAUUAAUAUGACGAAAGCAUUUCAUUCUGCUUUCCAAAUAUUGCGUCAUCCUUUGUUUACCCCCAUUUGGGCCUUAGUGUUAUUUUCUUUCAUACCCCUCUUUUGGAAUCAAGAUAGAGUCAACAAAAUUCAAAAAAUGUAUCGAAAAAGAAAGAAAAGAUGAGUGUCAAGAAAAAUAAAGUCAGAAAAGUCCCAAAGAGAAAAAGAGUCGACAAAAGAAAAAAAUACAAUCAAGUGAAAGAACAAGCUGCCAGAAAUACGCAUGACCUGAUUCUCCUCUCUCGAUAGUGAGAUACGUAGGCUGCCCUACUCAGGGCUCGGUUCCAAGCAAAUAAAUAAUUUAGAAUUGCCCAGUCAAAAACUGGGGCUUGAGUUAAUCCUCAUUGUUUGAGUCGAUUCCAAAAGUUGAAAGUCCUACCCCACUUUUAGUAUUGUUUGGGCCCCAUGCCAUCUUUUAUUUUCAACCCUAUCCAAAAGCCAAGUUACAACCAAAGAAAGACCUUCAGAUCAAUCUUUGAGAAUGUUAAGGCUAAGUAUGCAAUGGAUGUGAUGACACAUUUUGGGAACUACUCGUCUUCCUCAGCAUAAAAAAUCAGGAGAGAAAUAAAAAUGAGAGAGUUUUAUUGGUGAAAACCCUCACGGACACCAUAAGGCGAUGGUAAGUUGAGACAGAUAAAAAUAAAAGAGUAUUAUUGGUGAAAACCCUCAUGGGCACCAUAAGAUGAUGGUGAUUUGAGAGAAAAAUGAGAGAGGCUUGUUGGAGAAAACCCUUCAAGGUGCCACUAGCCGAAUAAGGUCUCUGAAUGCAAUGGGUCUAAGUAAGAAACUCAGUUUCAGGGUCAUUAACUCAACAACAAUUGGUAGAAAGUUUUGAUGAAAAGAUCAGGUUGCUUAAUCCAAAAUGCACAGUAUUAUUAUUAGAGUUGACUGUCAUUUUUAGAUUAAUUUAUUGUUUCUUUGUUUCAAAUGAGGAUAUUUAUUGUCUUUCCUUUCUUUUCUUUAUUUUUGUUUUAUCUUUCUUGAGUCAGUUAUUCAAAUAAAAAAAUUGUCAUUCUUUUUUUUUCUUUUCUUGUCUUUGAGCCAAGUCCAUGUCAAAACAAGUGAGAAAAGAUUUUAAAACUGGCUACCAGUUUCUUCAAUUGUACAAAGCAAGACAAAAGGGACAGCACAUGAAAAGACAUGAUUGUGAGCCGAAAUAAGGCAUACAAAAAUUAUGUCAAUAGACAAGUUUGGGAACUCAUGAAAAUACCAAGGUUCAAAGGGUUUAUAUGAUGAGCAUGGCGAAGCAGAGAUACCGUGUUUGUUUCAGAGUCACUCUUAAUAAUCUGAGUUUGGGUCAACGAUGCAGCAAGUCAAUGAUAAAUGCUUAUGGUUGGAAGCAAGGUUAAAUGUGAUGGGGCAAGAGCGAUCGUCGUGGAAGCUAAAGCCACAAACCAGCCACCGUGUUUUAAACUCACAAGUUUUCUUUGAUGAAAUAGGAAACAUAUUACCUUCAAUGCAAGGACUUCAGAGCAUAAAUAUCUAGGCCUGCAAUGCCUCACUUUUAAAUAUGCAUGAAGCAAUGUUGCUGCAAAGGUUUGGUAAUCAAAUCAUGGUAAAAUUCAUCAUCUUAUAUCCCUCGGAGACACACUUUUUUAUCCAGGGAUGUCAGUUUUCAUUUGCUGGGUGAUACACUUCUUAAAUUGAUCCUUCACUCCUAAAAGACGUACCUUUUAGUCGAGUCAUUCCCUUUGAUUCCUAUAAGACGUACCUUUUAGUCGAGUCAUCCCCUUUGACCCCUAAAAGACGUACCUUUUAGUAGAGUCAUUUCCUUUGAUUAAGACGUACCUUUUAGUAGAGUCAUUUCCUUUAAUUCCUAUAAGACGUACCUUUUAGUCGAGUCAUUCCUCUUGACCCCUAGAAGAUGUACCUUUUAGUCGAGUCAUUCCUUUGAUUCUUAUAAGACGUACCUUUUAGUUGAGUCAUUCCUCUUGACCCUUAGAAGACGUACCUUUUAGUAGAGUCAUUUCCUUUAAUUCCUAUAAGACGUACCUUUUAGUCGAGUCAUUCCUCUUGACCCCUAGAAGACGUACCUUUUAGUCGAGUCAAUUUCCCUGAUUCCUAUAAGACGUAUCUUUUAGUCGAGUCAUUCCCUUGAUUUCUAUAAGACGUACCUUUUAGUCGAGUCAUUCCCUUUGAUUCUUAUAAGACUUACCUUGUAGUCUAGUCAUCUCCCUUGAUUCCUAUAAGAUGUACCUUUUAGUCGAGUCAUUCCCCUUGAGGCCUUAACCCAUAGAAAACGUACCUUUUAGUUGAGUCAUCUCCCUUGAUUCCUAUAAGACGUACCUCUUAGUCGAGUCAUUUCCUUUGAUUUCUAUAAGACGUACCUUUUAGUUGAGUCAUCACCCCUUGAUUCCUAUAAGACAUACCUUACUUUCACAAAAGUCCUUUGAUGAUAAACUGGGGCAAAAUUUAAUUCUUGUUUUUGGAACUUUACUUUUCUGGCAAACGAAAUUUCUCUUUAUGAUAAUCUUUGUUUGGGAUAAUUUUUUUUCAGUUUUGAUAUGAUUUCAAGAGCCCGCCUGAAGAACAAGGUGAUGAGAUAGAAAGUCAGGAGCCCACCUGAAGAACAGGGGUGAUGAAAUGGCAAGUCAGGAACCUACCUGAAGAAUAGGGUGAUUAAAUAGUAAGUCAGGAGCCCAACUGAAAAACAGGGCGGAUAAAUGGAAAAUCAAGAACAAGGUGAAAAAGUUGAAAAGACAAGCAACAAGGUGAAGCAAUUGAAAGCCAAGCAACAAGUUGAAGAAAUUGCAAAUCAGGAGCCCGCCUGAAGAAUAGGGUGAUGAAACUCAAGUCAAGAGUCCAAAAGAAGAUGCAUAGAUAGGAUUUUUGUAAUUCCAUUUAUGUUUUUAACUCGUAAUUUUCAUUUUGAUGUAAUGACAGAGCUGUGGACCGGAACCUCGAUGGAACCUCACUCGACUCUCCAACUUAGUAUAGUCCUUCUCUUUCAAAUAUUUUGAAAUACCGGUCACUUGAUUCAUUCAUAACUUGGGUAGAUAGGUUGUCCUAAGUCAGGACUCGGUUGUCAUUCUUCCUUCUGUUCCUUCCUUUGAAUAAUGGUCGGGUCAAAAUUCUAUCUCAUUGUCUACUAUUUUGUCUGAAAACACUUCGUGUUUACAUUCAAAGGGGGCAUGAUGUAGACACCUAAUUUUGUCCCUCCCGAAGACCCAAGUUACACAUUUUUAUCCUCGUCUUACCACGCGCCCUACGCCAUGUAAUUAUCCCUACACAAAAUGACAAAAAUAAUAAUCCUUAAAAAAUUUUAUCUUUGUUCUAACAAACUCCCCAAUUAAAAGCGGACACCUCACCACCCCACUACCCCAUCCACGUGACCCCCCCUCCUCACAUUUCUUAACCACAAAGGAAAAGAAAAACGGACAGCUGUACAAAGUUGAGGCCAUUUUUUCUCUCUUUUGGAUUUGAGAGGAACAAAACAUACAAUAUAUUUCUCAGGGGGCCCACAAAUUUCCUUCGAUUAGAAAUACCCUCACAAGUCAUCUUCUUCAGAUGGACAAUCUUCAUAUUCAUGCACCAGCUCACUGAAACAAUACUAAUACACACUCCAGCGAGAGAGAUAUAGACGCACACACGCAGAGAGAAUCGGGAGAGAGCGAAUAAAAAAGGGGCCUGAACAGUGGUCGGCUAGCGUGAAUAGUAAACGCUGAACAGAGUAGGGUGAAGAACAGCUUUUCUCGGUGAGCUUGUCACCGGAAUAGUGCCUCAUUGUAGAGUCCGUCCACUCCUCCCUAAAACCCAAUUGAAACCAGCUUCAAACCCCCUAAAAUCAUGAUGCCAGUGCCCGACUACUCCGUCGCCACCAUUGUUACUGUUUUGGUGAUGGAGUUUUCGCCUGGAAUGCGCCAAAUCGGUCAAAAUCGUCCCAAAAAUAUCAAGAAAACAGUGAGUUCACCUUGGGUUUUUGACAAUUAAGUUAGAGGUCUAUUUGUGGUAUUGGUAAAAAAUGGAACAAAAGAGAUAUAUCGAAGUUGGAGUUAUUCGUUUGGUGAGGCUCGAUCCGAGAUUAUGGACGCGGUCCAAAUGAAAGGAGCAACUUUAAUCUAAAGCAACAUUUGAGGUUCAAUUCUAUCUUCUCUAUUUUUAUUUAGUUUUUAACAUAAUUAUGAAUGAUUUAUGUGUUUGGCAUGUUUGAAUCUUAGUGAUGUGUGGGUUGAUGUUGGAUUUGGAUAUGAAAACUUGAUCGGUGGAUUGUAUAUUGAAUUGGUUUAAUCGUGUUAAAAAAGUUGGGGCGCGAAUUGAAAAUUUGCUAAAUUGAAUUAGGAUUAAUUUUGAUUUAUUGUUAUUUUGAUUCAUUAACGUCGUCGAUCGUGAUUGUUCCAUGAUAGGUCAAGUUAGGUAGGCAAAAGUAGGUUGGGUAGGCAAAGUUUAGGAUCUGUGAUUGUUGAAAUGAUGAAAUAUUUGUGGAGUGGUUUCGAUUUAUGCAUUGGGAUCUAUUGUAUUCAUUUGGCCGGGUAAUGCCCCGAGGGAUUUGUAUUGAUUCACCGGGGAAUGUCCCGACGUAUCAUGUAUUCGGAGGACGUCCGUGAUGAAGGCCCAAAGCAUCGGGUUAGGUAUUGGAUCGUAGUUUAGGAUUAGUGUAGAUUAGCGUAGGUUUAUUUUUCAGUACAUUUUUUUUUUCAUUUCGGGUUGUAAUAAUUGGACUGGACAUUAUUAUUUUGGCUUUUGGAUUGUUGUUUGAUGUUUGUUUAUAUGCUUUGUGUGGUUUAUACAUUUGUGGUGUCUAAUUAGCCGAUACUCUCCACCAAGAGACCGUGGUCGAGCCACGGGACCGAGGGGUGCCUAACACCUUUUCCUUGGUCAACAGAAUUCCUUAGUCGGAAUCUCUGUUCGCGGAUCAAUUUUACAGAGUGAAAAUCAUUUUGAAAAAAGUUUUCCAAAGGUGACUUGGCAUACCUGAUUAUGCCAAGUGGCGACUCUGAGUUUUGAAUAUAAAUAAUCUUUUUCAAAAUAAAUUUUUAUUUUUUGUCACUUUGAUAAUAAAAAUCCUUUCAAACUUAAAACAAAAUCUUUUUUUGUUAAAAAAAGGGUGUGACAAGGAAAAGGAAAAAGAAAAAGAAAUAGAAGAAAAAGAAAAGAAAAGGAAAAAAUAAAAAAGGAAAAAUGAAUAUUAAGGAAUAAAAAUCUGCCACUAAGAUGGUAUGACACGCGUCAUCUGCCUCAUUCAGUGUUCGGUCAUGUGGAUUUUAAAUUGUCAUAGUGAAAAAAUAUUUAAUAAAUCAGUAAUUUUUGUUAAGUUUCAUACUAAGUUGAAUGUAUUGAGCCUAUAUAAUUAGAGAAAAACUUAAUUAAUAAACAAAAGUAAGAGGUAUUUUUGCAAGAACACAAGGAUAAUCAAUAAUGAAGUGUGAAAUAAAGAACAUAAGUGAAUAUAAAGAAACCAUAGCCGGUGGGAAAAAGGGAGAUCUUAUAUCAACAAUUUUGAGGUGGGGUUGGUACUGUGGGGUAGUAGAGAGGGGUAUUCACGGGUUGGUUUAGGCUGAUUAUUGGUCAAAAUCAAAAUCAAAUCAAUAUACUAAGUUUUAAAUUAUUAAAACCAAAUCAUACCAAAUAUAAUAUAUAUUUAUUGAUUUGGUUGUUAUCGAUUUAGGUUCGUUUUGAUUCAAUUGUUUGAUUAUUAAUCAAAUACGAAAUAAAAGAAAUGAUUCAUUCAAAAGAAAAAAAAAAAAAAGACAACAAUUCAUUCAAAAGAACGAAAAAUUCUAGGAUUACCAUAUAAAUCGUUAACAUGACGUAUAUCUAAUACAACAUAUUUAAGUUAUAAAUAAAUUUUGAUGAAAACAUAUAUAAGAUAUUAAAAAUUAUUAUUAAUAAGCAAUUUAUGAUAUAUAAAUAAUUAUAAAAAAUAUAUAUAUAAAUUUUGAGUUCGGUUCGGUUAUUUCGUUGAUUUCUUUUGACAAAAUCAAAACAAGUCAAAUAUUAUUGAUUUUCAAAUAUGUAAAAUCAAACCAAAUAAGAUUCAAUUUUAUUAGCAUAAUUCAAUUUUUUUUUUUAAUUUGAGUCAGUUUUUACACAAACCUUGAACAUCCUUAGAGGUAGAGUGAGAAAAAAAAAAGAGAGAAAAGGGAAAAGAAAAAGAGAAAAGGGAAAAGAAAAAGAAAAAAAGAAAAAAGAAGAAGAAAUUAAAGAACAAGAAAGGAAAAGGAAAAAGAAAAAGAAAAGAAAAUAAAAGAAAAAAUGAAUAUUAAAGAAUAAAAAUCUAACACUGAGAUGGUAUAUUACAUGGAAUUUAUUUCAUCAAAUGUCAAGUCAUGUGGAUUUUAACUUGUUAUGGUAGAAAAUUGUUUAAAAAAUAAAUAUUUUUGUUAAGUUUCAUAAUGAGAGAGAUGUAUAAUAGUCUUAUGAUAUAAACACAAACUUAAUUAAUAAACGAAUGUAAGGAUGUAACAAGAACACAUGGAUAAUCAAUACUGACAUGUGCAAUAGGGGAUAUAGGUGGAUAUGAAGAACCUUAGCUGGUGUGGGAAAGAGCGGAUAUGACACCAAUAAUUUUGAGACAGAGAAAGAGAAAAGAAAAAGAAGAAAAGGAAAAAAGAAAAAGAAAAAGAAGAAAAAUGAAAAAAGAAUACUAACAAAUAAAAAUUUGACACUGAGGUCGUAUGCCGCGUGGCAUCCACAUCACACAAAUGUUAGGUCAUGUGAAUUUUAAAUUGUCAUGAUGGAAAGGUAUUUUUAUUAAGUUUCAUAAUGAGGGAUGUAUUUGAUCCUAUAACAUAACUGGAGAUAAACCUAAUUAAUAAAUGAAGAUGUAUUUUUGACAGUUUUCCUUAAAAAAUUGGUGUUCAUGGUUCCUUUGGAUCGAUUUUAGAUUAAAAUCAAAAAUCAAACUAAUUUAAUCAAUUUUUUAAUUUUUAAAAUCAAACCAAAUAAAGCAAAAAUCAUUGGUUUGGUUAUUUUCUAUGUGGUUCGAUUUUUUGUUUAUAACUAGCUAAUGAUGAAUGGAGAAUUGAAAAAUUACAGAGACAUGAAACAACUAUGUCAAAUACAUUAAUUAGGAUUUAAUAAAAUUUUCUCUACUAUCACAAAAUAAAUAUAUGUGAAUAUUCUUAUUUUUUAGCACUAUUCCAAAGAUUAAAUAUUUUUAAUUUGUAAAAUAGUAGAUGUUACUCUAGUUCACAUGUCUAACAUGCACAAAAACAAUGUACAAUUUAAAUAGAAUGAUCAACUCUUUAAAAAUGGAUGCAUGUCUUAGCAAAAAAAAAAAGAAACAAUCUAAAAACAAAAAAUACACCAGACUACAUAUAGAUAAUUAAACUUAGAGUAUUGGGCUUGAGCAAAAACUUUAAGAAAUGAAUUCUAAAAGUGUUAGUAGUGCAUGUGAAAUAAGUACAUUAAAAUUCAAUCAAUGAUUAAAAGGUAUAAAAUACUUAUAUUAUUUAUAAAAAACUAAUAUCAUUUAUUUAAAUAAUUUUAACAUUUAUAUAAAUAAUUUAUAGAUUUGUUUUUUUUUUUUAGCAAAUCAAAAUCAAAUCAACUAUUAUAGAUUUUUGAAAUUUAAAUCAAAUAUCAGUUUUUUAAUCAAUCGAUUUGAUUUGACAUAUAAUUUUUGUUUGUGUAUGUGGUAAAUAAGAUAAACAGAUGUAACAUUCGAACGAGUGAACACAGAGAUCUGGGAGGAUUGGUUCUUCGAGAAGGCAUCCUUGAUAAAGGAAGAGAAAGCACAUUAAGGUCAAGGGAGGGCUCAAACACCAAUGCAUGGACAAAGAGACAAGGGAGACAAAGUGUUAGACGGAUAAGGCGCGCCGACAAGCACAUAAAGAUCUAAGCGUUGCUGGAAUAUUAGCUGGCAUCACUAACGACAUUACUACGUAGUCUUCUACCAUUAGUUUUAGUACUUUAGGGCUCGAUUGUGCUUUUUAUUGUCUAGUGUCUCACCAUUAUAACCUACUAAUAGUUUACUUCAAACAGCUGUAAGGACAUUCUGAAUUCUAGCAAGACAACAUCGAUAUACUAUUUCUUGAGCAUCAAGCUUGUCUUUAAUUUAAUUACUUUUAAUUUUUUAUCUAGCAUAUUGGUUCAAGGACACCUUCGAAGCUACGAUUGACUUCUUAGAGAAGUCCACAAAUAUGUUAAAUCGAACGCUCGAAUCUAUAAUCUUU
Molecule: long non-coding RNA, 20325 nt
Filed under: Capsicum annuum
Lineage: Eukaryota; Viridiplantae; Streptophyta; Magnoliopsida; Solanales; Solanaceae
Description: long non-coding RNA (CANN_LNC016619)
Source: RNAcentral